RNAcentral lists this ribosomal RNA (115 nucleotides) under Parahaemophilus pittmaniae. Lineage: Bacteria; Pseudomonadati; Pseudomonadota; Gammaproteobacteria; Pasteurellales; Pasteurellaceae. The record is from RNAcentral.
CGGCGGCCAUAAUGUGAUGGACCCACCUGAUCCCCAUUCCGAACUCAGAAGUGAAACGUCAUCAUGCCGAUGGUAGUGUUGGGCUUCCCAAUGUGAGAGUAGGUCCCGCCGGUUC